GGGCCAGACUCCUACGGGAGGCAGCAGUGGGGAAUAUUGCACAAUGGGGGGAACCCUGAUGCAGCGACGCCGCGUGGGUGAAGAAGUCAUUCGUGACGUAAAGCCCUAUCAGCAGGGAAGAAAAUGACGGUACCUGACUAAGAAGCCCCGGCUAACUACGUGCCAGCAGCCGCGGUAAUACGUAGGGGGCAAGCGUUAUCCGGAUUUACUGGGUGUAAAGGGAGCGUAGACGGCAGUGCAAGUCCGGAGUGAAAGCCCGGGGCUCAACCCUGGGACUGCUCUGGAAACUGUAAAGCUGGAGUGCGGGAGGGGCAGGCGGAAUUCCUAGUGUAGCGGUGAAAUGCGUAGAUAUUAGGAGGAACACCAGUGGCGAAGGCGGCCUGCUGGACGAUGACUGACGUUGAGGCUCGAAAGCGUGGGGAGCAAACAGGAUUAGAUACCCGAGUA
RNAcentral lists this ribosomal RNA (447 nucleotides) under uncultured bacterium. RNAcentral describes it as "partial 16S ribosomal RNA". It matches the Rfam family "Bacterial small subunit ribosomal RNA", at positions 328 to 792 of the family's 1533-position model. The record is from RNAcentral.